UGGAUGGCAUCACUGAUUCAAUGGACAUGAGUUUGAGCAAACUUCAAGAGAUAGUGAAGGAUAGGGAAGCUUGGUGUGCUGUAGUCCAUGGGAUCACAAAGAGUCAGACACAACUGAGCCAGUGAGUGAAAAAUGCUCUAAGAAACUGCCCAUCCUCACCCCAUAAGCCUUUUCUAGGGGAGCAGUAAAUGCCUACAGCUUUCUCAUACUCACAAUCUCCCAACCACACUUACUACCUUUGUGGUCCCUUGGGAAGACUUUGCUUCCUGGACCAUGGUAGAUCCCUGCCCCAUUAUUCACUUCACUCUUUGGCAUACUAUGGCAUUCUGAUGUAGCUUUUUUCUACAAUCCAGAUUCCAGAAAAUAGAGAUUUCCCAAGGGCCAUUUCUCUUAGCUCUUAUUGCUGUGCAUAUUCCAAAUAGCAAAAUUAUCUCUGUGCAAAUAUCAGACAUCUUUCUAUGUGUGUAUAGCAUCUUAGAAAUGCAAAAAGUGAAUGGUCAGAGUUUUUAAAAGAGCAACUAAAAUGAAAACAAGUUAUUAAAGUCUGGUUGGAAUUAUGAAAGAGACCUGCAGAGGAAAUUCUAUUUCAAGGGGCUGCUGAGCCUCGAUUCUUAGAGCCCUGGAAAUGCACGUGUUUUCUGAUUCCUCUGAAUACAUCUGCUCUGCCCCCUACCUGCACCCCACACUCUGAGCUGGACAGGCAGCUGCUGACUCAGUCCUCAACUGGCUGCACGUGGUGGGAGGAAUGUUAAUUAUUGCCUGUAAUCUACACAUUAUCCUGGAGAAAAUAACAAGGUAACUACCCGUGUUUAAGAAAUACAUUUAUGGAGGUGAGUGCUGCAGUCAAGGGAAUGGGCGUUUUGCAGGCAAGUAUUUAGGCAGGAAUGUGAACCCUUUUCUCUCACCCCCUACACAGGCACCCGAGACAGAGAUUCAUCAAGCCAGAGAAUGUCAAGGCCAUGUUCUUAUGCUGAAGGGAUCUUAGCAAGUAUCUGUUCCUUUCCCAGAGAAGGAGCUCUGGAGAGUCAAAGAUCUCCUUUGCUGUGUUUACCUGGAAGAGCAGUUUCCACAGAGUGAAGACGUUGAUGAGAAGGCAAGAAGACUGCUCAGAACUCUUCAGGAAAGAAUGAAUCCAACCAACAUCUACAGAGAAUAAAGUAACAGAAUCUUUCUCCAGAGUCCUGUUCUUUCCAGCCACAUGAAAAAGCCUGUUUUAUCCAGUACUGUCCAAGACAGGAUUCUCAGUCUGCCUACCUCUGUGACUCAGUCGAAAGAUUAUGCGGCUAUCAUACCAAGCCACAUACCAAAGCUCAGCUUUUAUUAAUAAAAAGGCAAACUACCAUCUGAGCUACCAGAGAAUCCCUGUGGAUGAGGAAUCCAGGCACAGUUAAUCUGAAUGCCAAUGCGACAAAGUCUCUCAAAAGGUUGCAAUCCAUUUGAACUGCAUCUGCGGUCUUAUGUGAUGGUUCAACAGGUGAGAAUUCAUUUUCAAGCUCAUUCAUGUUGUCAUCAGAAUUCAGUAUCUUGUUGGCUGUUGGCAAGAGGUCUCCCUCAGCUCCUUGCCACAAGGAACCUCACCUAACAGCUCACAUGUGGCAGGCAGCUGGCUUGGCUCAAAGUUUAAGGAGAGAGCAAGAGAGUGGUCCCACACAGAAGCCACAGUCUCUUUGUAACCAGUUCUCGGAAGUAGCAUCCUGAUUACUUUUUGCUAUAUUCUUUUCUCUGGCAGUGAGUCAUGGUCCACACUCAAAGGUAGGAGAUUACACAGGAUGCAAAUACCCAGAGGCUAGGAUCACUGCAGACCAUUUUAGAGGCUGUCCACGCCCCAAACUAACAUU
This is a long non-coding RNA of Bubalus bubalis (water buffalo), 1838 nucleotides long. RefSeq lists it as uncharacterized. Lineage: Eukaryota; Metazoa; Chordata; Mammalia; Artiodactyla; Bovidae. The record is from RefSeq and is a predicted model, not a curated record. The transcript is spliced from 4 exons.